CCUACGGGUGGCAGCAGUCGAGAAUCAUUCACAAUGGGGGAAACCCUGAUGGUGCGACGCCGCGUGGGGGAAUGAAGGUCUUCGGAUUGUAAACCCCUGUCAUGUGGGAGCAAAUUAAAAAGAUAGUACCACAAGAGGAAGAGACGGCUAACUCUGUGCCAGCAGCCGCGGUAAUACAGAGGUCUCAAGCGUUGUUCGGAAUCACUGGGCGUAAGGCGUGCGUAGGCUGUUUCGUAAGUCGUGUGUGAAAGGCGCGGGCUCAACCCGCGGACGGCACAUGAUACUGCGAGACUAGAGUAAUGGAGGGGGAAGCGGAAUUCUCGGUGUAGCAGUGAAAUGCGUAGAUAUCGAGAGGAACACUCGUGGCGAAGGCGGGUUCCUGGACAUUAACUGACGCUGAGGCACGAAGGCCAGGGGAGCGAAAGGGAUUAGAUACCCGAGUAGUC
Molecule: ribosomal RNA, 446 nt
Filed under: uncultured bacterium
Lineage: Bacteria
Description: partial 16S ribosomal RNA
Rfam family: Bacterial small subunit ribosomal RNA
Source: RNAcentral